GUGCGUCGGACAGAUACUGUACUCACACAGAAACGUAAAACGAAGACAUAUAUCAUAAAUUGUCACAGACAACUGGUCGUCGAGAGCGUCCCGGCUGCUCAUGUUUGCAUCAUUUGAUCUACAGCUGGCUUUCGUUGGGAAAGGAAUGAUUGCUGUAGCAGAAGGAAACGUGUGGGAAUGGAUUGAGUGUACACAGAUAACUGGUGUAAAGUCAGGAAACUUUUCUGGAAUCUGUUUAAAGGCAUAAGAGUGCGCAAUUUGUUGGACUGGAAAAAUUGGAUAAUAUAUUGGAAGCCCGAUGUGCGUACAAGUUCAAUACUACUUUCCUUGUGACUUGGGUUGUGACAUGGGGCUGUUGUUACAUUUUGGAUAACUUGUCUGUCAGGAACAGUUGCUGAUGAUAUUGCAUUCUUUGUUGUCGUGAUUGUUCAAGUCGUCUCAGAUGAUCAGCUUUUGCUCCUACUCUCUUACUAUCUGGUAGAAGCAAUAAGCCUUCUGUUGACUGGGGAAUUUUCUGCCUCAUUGCCUCAGCAGAUUUACAAAUAUCUGCUGCUACGGUUUGUCGCAAUGCUGGACAUUGGCAAAGUUUUGAAGUUCUUUCCUAUCACAAAGACAUAUGAAUGUUUUGGGUCUGGCUAUAGUGACAUAGUUCGGAUCCACGCUCCUGUAAUCACUGCCUGCGCUAAGCAAGCUAUUACAGUUGCUGCGUUUGUCUCAUUCAUCUACUCACAUAUUGUACUCACUCAGAACGUUGCUGCUGAAGAAUUUCUAGAAAACUCUGAAUUAGUAUGGUGACUGGUGUUGAUAUGACUUUUGUGUUAAUCUCAUCAAAUGAUAACAUUUCUAUGCCAAAGAGUUGAUUACAACUGAUAUUACAUUAUGUGGUUUUACUGAAAUUCACUUGAUGGAGAUACAGGUGCAGGCAUGAUGGAGUUAGAUGAAGACUCCUGCUAUCGUCUGUUGUUUUCUGGACCACCCAAGCUAGCUUCCAGAGGUGUUGGUCUAGUGGUUAGACAUAAUGUGUUGAAGUCACUGGAAUCGUUUGAUCCUAUCUCAGAUACGAUAUUGCGUGCUGGCUUUCUUACUGACAAAGGAAUUUGAAUGUCAUUGUUUGUUAUGUUCCAACAGAACAAUGUGAAGAUGUAGUUAAAGAUGAAUUUUAUCAACAACUUGGUGUUGCUAUGCAUAAGACACGUUUGCUUGUUGUUGUGCUGGGUGACUUUAAUGCUAGUUUUGGAAAGGCAAUUUCAAAAGUUGUUAGUUAGUUUGGUUUAUCACAGUCAACCAGUGACAAUGGUGUUAGACUGAUAGAAUUUUGUCAAGCUCAUAACCUGGGAAUCACAAACACCUUUUUCCGGCAUAAGAAUAUACACACUGCCAGUUGGUAUCCUCCUAAUCCCAAAUUACAGCCAAGUUUAAAAGACUAUGUUUUGGUAAAGCAGUCUAUGCAAAAAAAUGGUACAUGACACAAGAGUAUGACGAGGACCAAAUUUCGACAGUGACCACAAACUUGUUUGUAGUAAGAUGGUACUGAAACUUCAGAAGCCACGUGGGAAAAGACAAGUGAAAACCUUUAAACGGGAUGUACUCAGUGUUCCUAUUUCUAGGCAAAUAUCGAAAUAAUGUCAUGACUAGAUUCACACAAAGAUUAUCUACGGAGACUGAAGCUAUGUGAUCUGACUUUUGUAGUGCAAUUAUGGACUCUGCAAAUGAGCACCUAAACAAACCAGGAUUUCAAGAAAAAUGACAGACUAAUAUGUGACAGCUACUGUGGCAUUUCACUACUCAGUGUACCUGGAACGGUAUUAGCAAAUAUUCUUCUGAAACGACUUAAUCAGUCAGUUGAACCUCUACUACUAGAAGCCCAAUGUGCUUUUCGUUCGGGUAGAGGAACAAUUGAUCAAUUAUGGUUGGUUUGUCAGUUAACUGAAGUCCAUUGAACAUGAGUGUGCUGUCCAUGUUUGUUUUGUUGAUCUGGAGAAAGCUUUUGACUUUGUACCUAGAGAUGUUCUCAGACUACUUUGAAAGAGAGAUGCAUUGAGGAACAAAUUGUAUAAUUGAUUGUUGACAUAUUACAAUGGAACACAUUGUGUUGUCAAAUCUAAAGGUGAGAAGUCCUCAAAAUUUGAAGUUGCAACUGGUGUACAUGUCUCCUGUAUUAUUUAAUUGUACGUAAAGCACUAAACCAAGCUAAAGUUGGCGGAAUAGAAAUUGAAUACAGGAAAGAGGGAGUUUUCUACAUGAACUACAGAGUCAAAGCUCAAGGAACUAGUGUUAUUAAAGCUGCUAUGUAAACUGAUGAUUUAACUUUAAUUAAUUGGGAAGACCUCGGGUGAACUACAAAAGUUAGUAGACAGUCUACAUGAGUCCUGCUGUAAAUGGGGAAUGAAAAUCAGCAUCAAGAAACAAAAGUUUUGAGCAUUGGUUGCGAGCAGGCACGUAUUCUUCUUGACGGUUCUGUUCUUGAAAUCGGUACAGAGUUUACUUACUUGGGAAAUAUAUCAUGAGCCAAAUGGUGGAUGCAAUGCUGAAAUUGAUGCUCGUAUGUGCAAAGCAAGUAAAAUUUUUGGUUCCUGGAAGAAAAGGGUAUUUACCAACAGACAGUUUUCUAUCUCCACAAAGAUGAAAAUUUUCUGUGCUUUGGUGAGACCAGUUUUGCUAUAUAGAUGUGAGACUUGGUCCGUUACACAAGCAAACUUGCAACGCUUAAAUACAUUCCACAUGCGGUGCAUUUGAUUGAUUCUUGGUGUUUCAAGAUGGAAUAUAAUCAAGUAUUCAGACAAUUUAGAACAAGCGUGUGAAGACCCUAUUGCUAUGACAAUACAGAGACAACAAUUGCACUGGGCCAUCUGCUGUGCAUGAGUGACAAUUGUCCCCCAAAACACCUACUUCGCAGCAGACUUAGUAAUGCAACAAGACCAACACAUGGGUCUAAAUAGAGAUGGAUAGAUAUUGUCACAAGAGGCCUCAGGUCAUAACGUAUUGGUCUUCAUGAUGCUGAUGAUUGUGCUGCUUGGAGAAGCGCUAUUAUGCUGCGUUGCCAAACCCAUAGUGGGUAUGGUGGAAUCAAGGUUCAAGGACACUACUCAGUACUGUAUUGCAACAUUGGAACAACAUGUCAUUCAAUUUGAGGAAAUGCAGUUUAACAGUGACUAUUAAUUAAAAGCAUGUGUAAACUCAUUGUGGGGAAGGAAAACAAUGCUUCAUCAACUGUCUUUCAAUGAAAGGCCUUGUUGACAAUGACUGCGGUGUCUGCUACUAGUUACACUGUGAAUGCAACCUGGCUGAUUCUGAGCUAAGCCAAGUCCUUGUGAAGCCAUCCACUUAACCAGAAGAAGGAGUCACGACUAGUGAAGCUUGCGCUAGUAUUAAUAACUUAAAAAACCGAAGUGAUGAAAGAAUUCGUAGUUGUACUGGUACUGGAGUGGUACUUUGAAAAGGAUUGACAUUGCACUUUAGUGGUAAAUAUUUUUCACUAUUAUUAAAUA
Corticium candelabrum is the source of this 3488-nucleotide long non-coding RNA. RefSeq lists it as uncharacterized. Lineage: Eukaryota; Metazoa; Porifera; Homoscleromorpha; Homosclerophorida; Plakinidae. The record is from RefSeq and is a predicted model, not a curated record. The transcript has 11 exons.